CCUACGGGAGGCAGCAGUGGGGAAUAUUGCACAAUGGGGGAAACCCUGAAGCAGCAACGCCGCGUGGAGGAUGAAGGUUUUCGGAUUGUAAACUCCUUUUGUUAGAGAAGAUAAUGACGGUAUCUAACGAAUAAGCACCGGCUAACUCCGUGCCAGCAGCCGUGGUAAUACGGAGGGUGCAAGCGUUACUCGGAAUCACUGGGCGUAAAGAGCGCGUAGGCGGGAUAGCAAGUCAGAUGUGAAAUCCUAUGGCUUAACCAUAGAACUGCAUUUGAAACUGUUAUUCUAGAGUAUGGGAGAGGUAGGUGGAAUUCUUGGUGUAGGGGUAAAAUCCGUAGAGAUCAAGAGGAAUACUCAUUGCGAAGGCGACCUACUAGAACAUAACUGACGCUGAUGCGCGAAAGCGUGGGGAGCAAACAGGAUUAGAUACCCCAGUAGUC
Molecule: ribosomal RNA, 440 nt
Filed under: uncultured bacterium
Lineage: Bacteria
Description: partial 16S ribosomal RNA
Rfam family: Bacterial small subunit ribosomal RNA
Source: RNAcentral